GACGAACGCUGGCGGCGUGCCUAAUACAUGCAAGUUGAGCGCUGAAGGUUGGUACUUGUACCAACUGGAUGAGCAGCGAACGGGUGAGUAACGCGUGGGGAAUCUGCCUUUGAGCGGGGGACAACAUUUGGAAACGAAUGCUAAUACCGCAUAAAAACUUUAAACACAAGUUUUAAGUUUGAAAGAUGCAAUUGCAUCACUCAAAGAUGAUCCCGCGUUGUAUUAGCUAGUUGGUGAGGUAAAGGCUCACCAAGGCGAUGAUACAUAGCCGACCUGAGAGGGUGAUCGGCCACAUAGGGACUGAGAAACGGCCCAAACUCCUACGGGAGGCAGCAGUAGGGAAUCUUCGGCAAUGGACGAAAGUCUGACCGAGCAACGCCGCGUGAGUGAAGAAGGUUUUCGGAUCGUAAAACUCUGUUGGUAGAGAAGAACGUUGGUGAGAGUGGAAAGCUCAACAAGUGACGGUAACUACCCAGAAAGGGACGGCUAACUACGUG
This 497-nucleotide ribosomal RNA is filed under the name uncultured bacterium. RNAcentral's name for it is "partial 16S ribosomal RNA". It matches the Rfam family "Bacterial small subunit ribosomal RNA", at positions 28 to 507 of the family's 1533-position model. The record is from RNAcentral.